ACUAAGCGGAGGAAAAGAAACUAACAAGGAUUCCCUUAGUAACGGCGAGUGAACAGGGAUUAGCCCAGCACCGAAGCCUGUGGCCAUUUGGUUACUAGGCAAUGUGGUGUUCAGGUCGUUCCGCAGAGACGCAGCCCCACCCUAAGUCCAGCACUGAGUACGGUAAUACAGACUUGGCCCAAAGAGGGUGAAAGGCCCGUGAGGGUGGGGGUUCAGUCAUGACUGUGUAUCUCUGGAUAGACCUUGGAGUCGGGUUGUUUGUGAAUGCAGCCCAAAGUGGGUGGUAAACUCCAUCCAAGGCUAAAUACUAGCACGAGUCCGAUAGCGAACAAGUACCGUGAGGGAAAGUUGAAAAGUACUUUGAAGAGAGAGUAAACAGUGCGUGAAACCGCUCAGAGGUAAACGGGUGGAGUUGAACUGCAAGCCCAGAGAAUUCAGCUGGUGAGCGUGGUUUGAGCUUGGUCAAAUUGGUUGUACACUGGGGUCUGUGUAGCAGCAGGUCUCUGCCUUCGGGUGGGGAUGCGCGGAGCACUUAACAUGUGUUGCGCGCUCCAGAUGUAUUCGAGCCUGUUUGCCAGUGCAUUUUCUCUGGGUAUUCACCAUGACCGGCACUGCUGUCUGGCUGUUGUGGUUAAACCGGUCUUGCAUCGUCCUUGUGGCUUUGCUUGGUCGGGAUGGCAGGUAGCCUGUGGGCUAGUCUGGGGCAACCUGGGCAUUUGGUCUACGGGUGUAAUCAGCUGACCAUGAUGGUUCUGUGCGGUGUGUCGGAGACGGCGGCUUUUGGUGUAAGCAUGCGUGCAUUGUUUGCUGGUUUGUUCGGGUUUGGUUGCUAUGUUGCUUGCUCUGCAGGCCUGGCGAUAGCCUGGAUAUUCUGGUGAGCUGUUGCGUGUGUGACACUUUCCAGGGCCAACAGUCUAUGGUGUAGUGUAGA
This 931-nucleotide ribosomal RNA is filed under the name Opechona sp. CG-2013. Its description in RNAcentral is "eukaryotic LSU rRNA". It matches the Rfam family "Eukaryotic large subunit ribosomal RNA", at positions 45 to 621 of the family's 3401-position model. Lineage: Eukaryota; Metazoa; Platyhelminthes; Trematoda; Plagiorchiida; Lepocreadiidae. The record is from RNAcentral.